GUUGACCUCGAAUCAGGUAGGAUACGCGUGAAUUAAAA
Molecule: ribosomal RNA, 38 nt
Filed under: Balansia cyperi
Lineage: Eukaryota; Fungi; Ascomycota; Sordariomycetes; Hypocreales; Clavicipitaceae
Also listed under: 1 other name
Description: partial 28S ribosomal RNA
Source: RNAcentral